AGGGGUAUAGCUCAGUUGGUAGAGCGGCGGUCUCCAAAACCGCAGGUCGUGGGUUCGAAGCCUACUGCCCCUG
RNAcentral lists this transfer RNA (73 nucleotides) under Treponema sp. RNAcentral describes it as "tRNA-Trp". It matches the Rfam family "tRNA". Rfam says of the family: Transfer RNA (tRNA) molecules are approximately 80 nucleotides in length. Their secondary structure includes four short double-helical elements and three loops (D, anti-codon, and T loops). Further hydrogen bonds mediate the characteristic L-shaped molecular structure. tRNAs have two regions of fundamental functional importance: the anti-codon, which is responsible for specific mRNA codon recognition, and the 3' end, to which the tRNAs corresponding amino acid is attached (by aminoacyl-tRNA synthetases). tRNAs cope with the degeneracy of the genetic code in two manners: having more than one tRNA (with a specific anti-codon) for a particular amino acid; and 'wobble' base-pairing, i.e. permitting non-standard base-pairing at the 3rd anti-codon position. Lineage: Bacteria; Pseudomonadati; Spirochaetota; Spirochaetia; Treponematales; Treponemataceae. The record is from RNAcentral. RNAcentral also lists the same sequence under 1 other name.